GAUGGUUAUGGCAAUCAACUGAGAUAAACGGCUGAAAAAUCAUAAAUUAUGGACAUAAAGUGUAUCAAUCUUGGAUGUAACAGUUUGGAUUAAUUGCACAAAAACCCCGAAAAACUCUGGACUUCCAGGCUGGAUAGAAAACCUUCUGUAAGGGCUAUGAAGACACCAAAGACAUCAGCAGAACGGGGCAAGUGUUAGCUUUUAGCUCCAAAAGAUGGUUUACAGAGAUCUAACUGCAUGGGAGCUCUGUAAGAGAAAACACAAGGGGCUACCACAGGGAAUCAUCGCUGCACAAACACCGUGGAAAAACAGCAACCUUGACUGAUAUCUUAUGGAAAAUGGGGAAAAUGCUCCACAGUGGAACAUUUGGGGCCGGUGUCCAUUUACCAGCAUGAGAAAACUGAAUAUUUUUCCACCAUUUUUACCAGCCAAGGGUUGUUAGCACAAACAAAAGGAAAUUCAAAUAAAACCCAGCUUGAGGAAAGCUCAAACAGCAAAUCGCUUUUUGCUCGCAGGUUUCUCUAUAGAGCUCCCCCUACAUCUUUGGAAUAGAUAUUUGGCAGCUCCAGUGUUUACUUGUGUCUGACUCCUCGCUCGGUCAGUCUGCUGUUUCCUCUUUCUCUGUUCCUCUGACAAUGCUUUCCUAGCUUUCUGCUUCUUUGUUGCUGGUUCAGCCAUGAUAUUGUGAAAACUCCAUCGCUACCUUGUUAGCCGGUUCCUGAAUGGGCGUAUGUGUGCAGUGCCGUGAAGCAAUUCGUUAUAUCGCGAGACCUGAUAUCACGCGAUCCUUCCUGGCGGUGUGGCCAGCGGCUCGCCGGCCGAAAGUUGCAAGGGUGGUUUUUCCGCUCACAGGCGCUAGGGGGGAGCGAGACGACCAUAUAACCAUUCCAAUGACUCUGAAGCUGUUAAAAAAAAAAAACUGCAUAGUUCCCCUUUAACAUGCUGUUACAAAUUCUGCAGGAUAUGUUGGGCAAAUGAUUUCAGACAAACAUUUAUUGUAGUUUGUUCUGUUGUAGCUUUUAUUGUUCAAAGAAGUCAUAUAAGAGUAAUCCCCAUUAUGAACCACAAACUGCAUAGUCUCUCUUGAUUGUUGAAGACAUGUGAUAGAUUUAACUGAGCAGGACAAAUCAUGUAUAUGAAAUGUUUGAUGGUGACAUCUCCCUGUCUCAGAGUAACAGAAGGAAGCACACAUCUAUUUUAGGAAGAUCAAAAUAUUUGAGUUUCCAUUCUGUGCAAGUUUUAAGACAUGUUGUCAUCUUCAAAAAUUAAAAAAAAGGCCCCACAAAGCAUCUGAUCAAUGUUUAGAGUGAAGGACAGGUGAUACCAAUCAAUAAGCUCACAUCGUAAUCAGCAUGAACAUAGAAGUAGAGUCCAUAGAGAGGGCAUUCAUAGCUAACAGAAACCAACAUCCAUAUGUCCAGUAAAGUUGCAGGAGCUUGCAGAUACAAAAUAGAAAAUCGCAAGCUAUAUAAUAAUAAUUCCAAAGUAAAAAAAACUUAAACAUCUGAGUCCUGACAUUCAGCAACAAGUAUCCUAUACAAAAUGAUACAAAAUACAUCCCACUCACACAUACACAAUGUACCAUUUAGUAAAGAAAGAACACAGAUUCAUUUAAAUAUCUCAAAGUCUCAGGGUCUCAGACUGUUUCUAUAAUGUUCUUGAGUCUUGAAUUCACAAAUGAAAUGAAAACUUGUCCUCUGUGAUUUUCAAUUUGGGUCCCAUCUAUUCAUUUAAUGUGAGGGAAAUAUUAACACACUGUUUUGUCUUUUUGUCACUUGGCUUUAAAGUUUUAAAACGUGCAUUUU
This is a long non-coding RNA of Perca fluviatilis (European perch), 1805 nucleotides long. RefSeq lists it as uncharacterized. Lineage: Eukaryota; Metazoa; Chordata; Actinopteri; Perciformes; Percidae. The transcript has 3 exons. The record is from RefSeq and is a predicted model, not a curated record.